This 838-nucleotide ribosomal RNA is filed under the name uncultured bacterium. RNAcentral describes it as "bacterial SSU rRNA". It matches the Rfam family "Bacterial small subunit ribosomal RNA", at positions 1 to 839 of the family's 1533-position model. The record is from RNAcentral.
GAAUUCGCCCUUAGAGUUUGAUCCUGGCUCAGGACGAACGCUGGCGGCGUGCUUAACACAUGCAAGUCGAACGGAGGUUACGAGGAAGCUUGCGAAUUGUAACCUUAGUGGCGGACGGGUGAGUAACGCGUGGAUAACCUGCCUGACAGACCGGGACAACACCGGGAAACUGGUGCUAAUACCGGAUACGCUCAAGAGUGCCCAUGCACACUUGAGGAAAGGAGCAAUCCGCUGACAGAUGGGUCCGCGUCCCAUUAGCUAGUUGGAGGUGUAAAGGACCACCAAGGCGACGAUGGGUAGCCGGCCUGAGAGGGUGGACGGCCACACUGGAACUGAGACACGGUCCAGACUCCUACGGGAGGCAGCAGUGGGGAAUCUUCCGCAAUGGGCGAAAGCCUGACGGAGCAACGCCGCGUGAGUGAUUAAGGCCUUCGGGUUGUAAAACUCUGUCAUCAGGGAAGAAAAUAAUGACGGUACCUGAGGAGGAAGCCCCGGCUAACUACGUGCCAGCAGCCGCGGUAAAACGUAGGGGGCGAGCGUUGUCCGGAAUUACUGGGCGUAAAGGGCGCGUAGGCGGUUGUCCAAGUCAGAGGUGAAAACUCUGGGCUCAACUCAGAGCGUGCCUCUGAAACUGGGCGACUUGAGGGCAGGAGAGGGGAGUGGAAUUCCCAGUGUAGCGGUGAAAUGCGUAGAUAUUGGGAGGAACACCAGUGGCGAAGGCGACUCUCUGGCCUGUUUCUGACGCUGAGGCGCGAAAGCGUGGGGAGCUAACGGGAUUAGAUACCCCGGUAGUCCACGCCGUAAACGAUGGGUGCUAGGUGUAGGAGGUAUCGACCCC